RNAcentral lists this ribosomal RNA (301 nucleotides) under uncultured bacterium. Its description in RNAcentral is "partial 16S ribosomal RNA". It matches the Rfam family "Bacterial small subunit ribosomal RNA", at positions 509 to 807 of the family's 1533-position model. The record is from RNAcentral.
CAGUAGCCACGGUAAUACGUAGGUGGCAAGCGUUGUCCGGAAUUAUUGGGCGUAAAGGGCUCGCAGGCGGUUUCUUAAGUCUGAUGUGAAAGCCCCCGGCUCAACCGGGGAGGGUCAUUGGAAACUGGGAAACUUGAGUGCAGAAGAGGGGAGUGGAAUUCCACGUGUAGCGGUGAAAUGCGUAGAGAUGUGGAGGAACACCAGUGGCGAAGGCGACUCUCUGGUCUGUAACUGACGCUGAGGAGCGAAAGCGUGGGGAGCGAACAGGAUUAGAUACCCCCGUAGUCCCUGUCUCUUAUAC